GGUGGCUUCCUAGUGGGUCAAUUGCUCCUGUGAUGGGCCUGGGAGAAGAUGAUUGGGAAUUUUCUACUUACUGUUGUCUCUCUGUGCUUCUUUUUAAGUGUGCAGGUGGCAGGUCUGAGUUGAAGUACUGUGCAGCAGCCAGUUGCUCAUCAUCUGUUCUCCUGCAAAGAAGAUGCAAGAAAUGUUGUAUGCACUGAGCAAAUAUGAGAAUCUGCAUGUCAGUAUGAACAGUAUGGCACUUUAAAGUGAGUAUGACAACUGUUUUUUUCUUUCUUUACAUCCAGUCACUUUUUUUUUUUUGUCAUCUUGCUAGUUCCCCAUAAGCGUAAAAUUAUUUGUAUUUGUUGAGAAGAUUUGAGAUUCUGUCAACUCCCUUGGUAUGUUUAGGCUGCCUUCUAAAUCUUUACAAAAGGAGAUGGUCUCAAAGAUCCUUCUUAUUGCACAGAUGCAUUUGGC
This 456-nucleotide long non-coding RNA is filed under the name Gallus gallus (chicken). RNAcentral's name for it is "lncRNA (ENSGALG00010006906.1)". The record is from RNAcentral. Lineage: Eukaryota; Metazoa; Chordata; Aves; Galliformes; Phasianidae.